Long non-coding RNA from Leopardus geoffroyi (Geoffroy's cat), 771 nucleotides. RefSeq lists it as uncharacterized. The transcript has 3 exons. The record is from RefSeq and is a predicted model, not a curated record. Lineage: Eukaryota; Metazoa; Chordata; Mammalia; Carnivora; Felidae.
GCGCGGGGCUCAAUCCCAUGAAUGGUGAGAUCAUGACUUGAACCAAAACCAAGAGUCAAACGCUUGACUGAACCACCCAGGCGCCCCACAUGCUAGGAGUUUUGAUGGCCAAUGCUUCUCACCCUAGACCCUCUAUAGGAAUUGCCCACAGGAAAGAGAGCCACCUUACCUAAGGUCACGCCCCUUCCUGAAAGAAGGUCACUUGCAGUGACAGGUUAAUUGGGGGGCAUGUGCUCCACUCAUUGCCUCAGUGAAGGGCCAUUCCAGGUCGUGGUAGGAUUGACUGAGGCCACUGUUUGAACUGCAUCAACUGUUCAACCCCCUCCCACUUCACCUUUCCUCCCUCAGGCCUCACAUGCUGUUCCUGAGAGCUUGUCUCCUCCCUCUCCCCCCAAUAAACCACCUGCACACAAGUCUCAAGAGUCUGUUUCCCAGGGAACAGACUGAGAACUGUGGGCAAGGGAGAGGGAGGAUCCUAAGGUAGCUCCUCAAUUUCUGUUUUGAGACAGCACAUGAUGCCAUGCACUGAGAUGAGCACAGGAAGGUGAUAAUGUACAGGAACUGAAGCAGGUUUGCUGGAAAAGAGAGAAGCUUGAUACGCUCAAGGAUUAAACCAAUUUAAAGAAGAAGAGUGAUAUAAGUUGUUUGGAGGUACUUUCCAAACGUUGUUCCAGAUUUGGGGUCUGAGGAUAUAAAGGAAGUGGCUUUUACCACGCUUCACUUUGAAUGAGUGCAUGCACGUGUAACCUGGAGAGAGGGGCAGAGGAAGAG